UCAUUGAUUACGCGAGAAAGAGGGAAAAUUCCGGUCGUGCGUGCCUGGAAAGGUAGCGUAGGCGUGGCAACGCGUCGGCGUCUCGGCGCCUUAUUCGUUGAAAACUUUGCGCAAAAGCACCGCCCCGGCCGCGCGAGCGCGGUGUUCUCGGCACGUGUGCGUGAAGCCCAGCUGGGCUUUCGGAGGACCCGGCACGCCGGUGUAACGUUGCGGCCGGCGUGUACGUGUGCGAGAGGAAAGAAGAACGGGGAGGAUGCCAAGCGGUUUCCCCGCCGCCGCCGCCGCCACCUUCCCGCGAGCCCUCCGUUCCACUCGUCGACGGCGACGGCGCCAUCAUUCCCCGCCAAUUUUUUUCAAAUGCUAGCUCCCUCUGCUCGGUCGACGCCGGAACUGCCGUUCCUCUUUCUCUCUUCUGCCACCGUUCGUUCCUCUUUCCGAUACGCUUUCUCUCCUCCACCGUUUUACUACCCCCUCACUGUCCCUCCUUCGCUGUCCCCCGCUGUCCUCCUCUACCCCUGUCUCUCUAUGCCCUUCCAUCGCGCUUGUUCGGUUUCGUUCGCGCUUGUCCCUUUUCCGUCCUCGUUCUGGCGAUCCCUCUUUUGCUUCCUCUUGCUCUUCGUGCUCGAAGAACAGCCGUGUGGAAGGGCGCGCCGCGAAAAGGGACGGCAAGGACGAGAGCAAUAAAGAGGAGGAGAUUCUCGAGCGCGGCGAUAAGCGUCGAGGGGUCUCCGUCUCUUCGUUUCUCCGUUGUGGGACGCGAGGGUCGAUUUCCGGUGGUGGGAAUUUUUCUCGACGUGGAGGCGACGAACACUAGCGCUCACCCUCGGCCCCCCUCUCCUCCCCCCUCUCGUCUCUAUCUUCGUUCGCUUUUCCUUUUGCAGCGCUGCAAUCGACGACUCUAUUACUUCCGCGAAAGGGAGAGAAAAUGCAGCAAACGGAGGAAGACCGGGAGAAUGGCCGGGGGCUGUUUGACACACGGCGGAGAGGUUGGUGGUAGGGGAGAGUAGAUGCAAGGCGAUCGCGCAGCUGGUAACGCAGACAGAGCCUUCGUCCUUUUCUUCGUUAAGGGCAACUUGUGUUGCGCGUACCUGUUUAGCAAUUCUCGAAAUGCGACCGGUGCGAUUUAUACGAGAGACAUCGCGUAUAAUACAAUGGUACAUCCCCGACUAUACAUGACGAGAAGCUACAUUUAUAUCGCGUUACAAGCACACCGGCUGAUAUAUGUUAUUCCGAUAGAAUUUCAGCUGGUAACUAACUAUUGUUUUCCGCAUUCUCUCGAAAUAAUCUUUUUCUGUGAUAUUAGUUGCGUUGUAUGGCUUAUAUCUAUAGCCAGGUACAUGAGAAUGACAUGGAGAACUCAGGUUGCAUUUGGUAAUUAUUUAAUACUUACGUACGUUGGCAUAAAUAUUUUUAUCGAUAUUUUCACGCAUACACAUCUAGAUCUCUAGAUACAUUAUUAUUCAAAGACAUUAAACAGUUACGAAAAAAUUUGUUAUUUUUUUUCUGAUAUAAAAUUAAUUAAGAUUAUCAUAGAAUAGACAAAGAUGACGAUUUGUUACUGCAGCUACAAUACAUAUAAAUAUGUAAAUUUCAUUUAAGUAUGUAAAAAAAAAUUAAAAUUUGUACAUAGUCAUAGCCAUGAGAUGUUUUACAUUUGUUAAAAUAAUCCUGAGAAUUACAGUGUGUGCCACCAAAAAGGUCGUUUUACAUAUAGUCAAUGUUGGCGUCAAACGGUCCAACUAGUAGAGCGAUCCUAAGACAUUCAUUGUGGGAAACCGGAACGACGAGCAUCCACGGUGGCAUUCCUUGACGGCGGCGGCCGAUCGCGGCGCGCACGUGUCUCGAAUCGCGGAGAACGCGUGCGCGUAUUGACACGCGCUGAUCGAACGCAGUGACGCGCGGGCCUCGUCACGAGGGCGAACCAAUACCGGCGUGAUCCAGGCCGGUAUCUACCACGACCACGUGCGCGACCCCCGAAGUAGGCAUUCACGUACGAAGAUUUGACGUGCCUUUUUCGCCGGUAUCUCUCGACAAAAUGGCGAGCGUCGGGAGAUCACGUGCCGUCGGAUGGGAGUUGCGUCGAUGAAGACGGUUCCUUGCGGUUUCCGGCUUUGGAGGAUCUCGCUGACCUCGCGCACGAGUAUCGAAGUCUCCAAGCAGCCCCUUAAGAGAGAACGACCAACGCGCCACGCAGCGGAGGGUGCUGGUCGCAUUCCUUCCCCAAUCGGCAAGAAGGCAUAUACCUCCCCUAAUGAAGCCUGAUUUUCUUGAUAACCACGGAUGGCGGACAGACGAUCCCAACAGAGAGAGAGAGAGAGAGAGAGAGAGAGAGAGAGAGAGAGAGAGAGAGAGAGAGAGAGAGACACCGGUGAAACGUCGUUUCGUUCGCGGCCGGUGAAACGACGUUUCCGGUUUUCGGGCGUUGUUCCGGUUGAAUUUGGAAAGAGGACUGUACGAUGGGGGAUGGUACGCAACUUUACAACACGGACAGACACGUAUAGGCAUGACGGGGUGCUGCCCUCUGCAGGCUAAAAUUAGAGGGUUGCUGUCCGAAGUUCUCCGCUACACGUUUGCAUUUCCUAUGCACUAUUUCCCACGUGUAGGUGCGUACAGUCCUGCGCGAAACUCGGGCUCGCUGCCGCCUCCGCCGCGCCAGCCGAUGCGCGUGUACAGAAUUUAUCAGCUUAUCGCCGAUUGAUUUAUUGCGCGCAAGGAGAGCAAAAAAAUGCGCCGAAUCCAUGAAUGAAACUGUUUUCGCCGGUCCCGCCACGCACGUUUGCACGCGCGCGCGCGCGUACGUAACUUUUUAUUCGACGUUAUAUUUUAUGAAAGCGACUUGUUAACGCGUGCAACUUCUGGCGAGUGUUUUUUUCUCGACCGAUCUGCGCCUUUUUGUUAUCAUUUCAACGUAACUUUGCGAUGCACUCUGACUGCCAUUCGAAGAUUUUAAGACACGACAUAUAAAUGUCUAACAUAUAUUGCAGAGGAGACUUUUAAUUAAUCUGAACACUAAUUCUGUCAGAUUUAUUAAGUAUAUCAUUAAUAUUAUAUAAAUAAAGCAGUUGGAUGCAAUAUUCAAGGAAGACUUACAUAAUAUUUUACAGAUAGAUCUGUUCCACUUAUUAUGCUACUUUUUCUAUUAAUUAUAGUAUUAUCGCGAUUAAUUAAAACAAUACACUGUUAAAUAUUAAAGGAUCGCAGUAACACAAAUUUUCUGAAUAAGUGGCGUCGAUGUCAACGGUAUGUACCUAUUAAAUAGCAAACUAAAUUUAAAUCAAAUUUAAUAUUAUAUACUUUCUUGAGUUUAACUCCAUUUUUUAAAUUAACUUAAUGGCAUGUUAAGUAGGAGCACUGGUGACCUAUAAAAAUGAUUAAAAAUGACUCAAAAUUGGAUAUUCGACAUUAAAAAUUUAACAAUAUAUUAAGAUAGGAUGUGAUUUAAAAUUAUUAAAUCGAUCAUCAGGAUAUUUUUGUUUAUCUCUCUUUCUCUCUCUGUCUCUCUCCCUAUAUUUCCUUUAUUUUCAGUCUUCCUAUAUAGCUGCCUCGAAGACAACCUUGCGGUCGUUAAUUAUUUAAGGAGACCUUUAAUGAAGAUAAUGCCAUUUUUUCGAAAUGAUGACGAAGCCAAUCUCGAGGAACCAAUCUCGCAAUCAUUAGAGGAUUUUCGCGGAGGACUGUACUCGCGUACCCUCUCCAGAGGCAUUAGACGCAGUGUAUCGGCGGCCGUGCUCGUGCGCGAGUAUUAGACACCAUGCCCGCAGCUCAUUUGCCAACUCCGGCAAAUUUACCAAAUUUAAAUGCAAAAUCGGCCGGUGCUCCGCCGGUUCGAUGGAGGUGCAAGCGAGACGGCGCGCGCGGGGUGGCGUGCGGGCGAGACGAGGAACGGGAAGGCGAACAGAGGAUACGAGAGACAGAAAGAUAGAUAUAGGAACGAGGAGAGUGUACGAGCGAGCGAGAAAGGGGUGCGCGGCGGCAGGGUGCGCGGGGUAGAGGGUAGGUGAAAGCGCACGGAAGAGACGAAGAGGGAAACGAAAAGCUCGAGCGAGAACGGAAUAUAUAGAUAGAUAGAAGCACGAUAGUGGAGAGCCAGGGAGAGCGAGAGAGGGUGGACAGGAAAGAGGGACGGAGACAGAGACCGUGGUAGGAAACUCAAAUGGUCGCAAUGGUGCGGUAUAGUAGUCAGGCUGGUUGUCAGGCGCAGCAUGCGAUUGGUUCGCCGACCGUGUGUUACCUCUGUCUCUCUCGCUUUCUCUCUCCGCUUUACGUGUCUAUUCCGCUAUUCGUCCGUCUUUCUUUCGCCGCUUCGUAUUCGCCACACCGACCUUCUCGUUUCCACUCGCGCGCACCCUGCGCUUCGUUGCUGUCACGCGAGGGUUGCCGCCGUGAAUCUCGAGACGGAGGGAUCUGACAUCUUUGACAGUCCGGCGAAGAAAAGUUUCGCAAGAGAGAUGGGCCGAGAGAGAGAGAGAGAGAGAGAGAGAGAGAGAGAGAGAAAGCGAAAGAAGAGGGUCGUGAAAGAAUCCUUCCUCUUUUUUUAUCUAGAAAGUUUAAUUAAAAGUCUUUUACUUACUAAAAUAGGUCGAAACGAAUAAAUUACUAAAAAUAAAAGAAAAACCGAUUAAAAAUCAAAUAUUUUACUAUAAUGUAGAGCCACAAUUUUUGAAAAGUCUUUCAGAAUUCUAUUUCAUGUACAAUAUAAGCAAUCUAAUACUGAUCUAAAAAAAUAGAAAAGCUCGCGCAAUAAUGACCGCUUGAUAAUUCUAGUCUUAAGUAAUUUGAUGCUAUAAUACAUGUUAUCACGUCGCGGUAAUUUGCGUUUGUGUACCGCGUUGCAACAAAGUGACUACAGAGACCAUAUGUUUAUUGCGUGUCCUCUUUAUUGAAAUAUUAAAUAAAUGCGCGAUAGAUAUUAAUUCGAUGACUAACUGUUCAAUGAAUACUUUUCGCCUUUUGAAUCUUUCCACUCUAAUAAAUUAAUUGGAGCUGUUUUGAUAGAACGAGGAGGAGGGAUAAUGUGUGGCACCGAGGUAUUUUUCAAUGAUGAGAUAAUUAUUAUCGAUUAUUUAAAAACAGCUGUGAAAACCGAGUGUACCAUUAUCUUUUUAGUGACCCCGUAAUGAAUAUUAAUUUUACGAAUUAACGAAAAAUACAUCUGUAUCACAUUUAUUCUACCGCGGGGCAAUUACCGGGAUUUAUCCUAUACAUUUCAGGUGAAGUAUUUCUUUUUAAGCGUGUCGGAGUAAAACUACAAAAACUGUGUGUAUAUCUGACAUGCAGUUUCUAGUGAACUGCAUAGUGUGUGUGUGUGUGUGUGUAUAAAAACAAGUGUUGCUGGUCGAACGUAGAUUGAGCGCGGCGCGGCAUGCGGCAUUAAUUCCGAGGAGAAGAAGAUACGUUACCGGACGCGUCCGAUUUCGGGCCGAGAUCUAAAUCCCUGGCGGAGAAAACCGGCCUGCACUAAAAUCGUCAAUCAAUGUCUCACGCUCUUGCCGCGCCCCCGUCCCGGCCCGGUUCAACCCUUCGCGCUCGCCGCCCAUCCGCCCACCUAUUCACCCCCCUCCCCCCCCUUCGGAGGUACCGUCGAUCGCUCGUCGUCGCUGGGGCACACACAGCCAAAGGGUUGCCAAUUAUUAUUCGCGGUACACUUCGCACCGUUUUGUUGUUCAUCGGCAGCGCCGUUUAUUAUUCAUCGUUCAUCAUAUUGCGGUGCCCGUUACAACGGUGCAGUUACAACACGACGACGGGCAGAAUACGCCGGGCCGGCGUUGUUUCGCGUAGCGUUACACCGUUACGCCGACGUUACGAAUGGCACAGAGGGCGAAAGCGCGUGCUCGCACGCUCGCCGCUGCUCCCGCGUGUGUACACGCGCGUGUGCGCGUGUCGGUACACCGCGUGUACGCUCGUCAAAAUACAAAGUGAACACGAGUCCGCCAUGGGGACGUUUAUUGUGCACUCGUACGUUGUUUUAUCGGCGUUACAUUACGCGAUAGUUUUCAGUACUCCGCCCCCUCCCGCGCUUCUUUUAAUAAUGCGCAUUACGAUAAUAUCCCUUUGUGGCUGAAGCUCGACGAGCGGGAGGGGCGGCGAAGCGAAAUACCCCACCGCGGUUUUGAUAUUUAUAUGCGUUCGACUCGUCGGACUCGCGAGACACGAGCGGGUGUAAAAUUCGACAGCCAUUGCUGGUUUCUUAUUGCCCGGUGAUAAUUACUUUGUAAUUAAGCUCGGGCGUUCGACGGCUGAUACAGGAACGCAACUUAAUCCAUGCCGGCGAAGAUAUCUAACGCGAUAUCGCAUUUGUUACAUUCCGAUUACGUGCGUCACUAAACAGAGAAGUUAAUUAUAAAUCGGCAGAUCGACUCGCGCAUUUACGCGCGCGUGAAUUUUAAUUAAAACGAAGAAGCGCAAAUAUUUGCGGAAUCUACCUCCCUUUUUUCUCUCGCGACGCUCCCACAUACUAAUUUUCAACAAGAUUCAGGCUGUCGCGCGAACAAAUUUCAACAAAUGUCAACAUUCGCAUUGUUUGUUUUCAGCGCAAAAUAUUUUUCAUAUGUUAAUUCCGCUACUGUACCGCGUAAUAUCGAAAUCAUACAUUUACAGCAUUCAUAUGCUAUGCACUAUCCAAAAUUUAUAUAUAAUUGUUUCCAAGCGCACUAACUUAUUUCGUAUAGGAAAUUAAUAAAUCACCGUUCAUGGCUGAAGAACAAAGAUAUAACGAAAAAGUGCAACAAGUAUCUGAAGCAGGAUAUGCACGUAAUACGAUAUGCAUAAAUAAAUUAUUAUUUUAAAUAUAUUGUACGUAUUUGCCGCUCGUCGCUCGUAUAUGUUUAUACGCGUAUCUUUCUAUUAUCAUUUUAUACCACGCUAUUUAGAAUAAUAAUCAUGCCUGUAUCUAUAAAAUUGUGAAAAGCAGCAACAAUUCUCUGUUACAUAAUUUCAAAGAAUGUCACACUUACGACCAACAUCGCACAUCGCCCACGCAUUACUUUAACUUGUAAUUAUAUGCGCUCGUAAAUGCAAAGUGCGAGUGUUAUAAGGACUCGUAAUUCAAGGAAUGCAUGACGCUCGAAUUUAGAGUCAGUCCCGCCCAGUAAAUUUCGGAGCGCGCGGAAUAAUGAGGACGAAUGUCGCCGGCAUAACUAAAAAGAGAACAAAAUCUUGGACGACCAAACUUUGGUAUUAAUAGAGGAAAUCCGGAAUGCGUCCGACACUGAGGAUAUAUCUCUGUACCCCUCCGUACUCGCCCCUUCUCUCUCUCUCUCUCUCUCUCUCCCCCUCUCUCUCUCUCUCUGUCUCUCUCGUGGUGUAAUUUUAAAUUGCCGCGAAAUUUAUGGAAACCCACUUCCACAUGUUCCUCUCGUUCUCUUUUCAUCUAGUGAUUAUUCUAAGUUCAUAAAAUAACACAAGCAAUGCAAAACUUUCGCUUUUCAGGAUGUCGUUUGCGAAAUACACUAUGCAAAAAGCGCCAUUGAAAAUUUCAGGUAUUAUAGAAUAUAACAAAAUAUAGAAUAUUAUUUUGUACUCGGAAGCGCAUUACUAAAGUGGUUUUUGUCAUUUGUACGUAAAAUUUUUAAACAACAUUGUUGAAUAUAUCUACCGCGAUAUGACUUGAAUUAUUCUUCCUUCCGUUCCUUUUUCUCCUCGUCAUAUCAUUAAUUCUGAUGACGAUAGUAAUAAUUAUUCGUUUAUGUAAAUCAGAAAAUUACACAUCUUGUAUAUUCUAAAUAAAUUCGUCUUCACCCUCCCGAUUUUUUCGCAUCAGCGCGAGCGACUCCAAAAAAUGUCUCGGGUCGUAUUUGCCAAACAAAGUAAUUUAACACGAAUUAACAUAAAUCACUCAAGUUUCGUUCGUGGUUGUUCACUCGCUCGCGCGUUCGUCCGUUCGACUCGACAGUUUGCCAUCCCUCAACCAACCCCCGCCACCACCCAUCAGUGUUACCCUCAUCCGAUUCGAGGCAACGGCCGAUUACAACGUUCCGACAGAAAUUUUCAAUUUUCGAACUUUCCAGUCACGGGUUCUCGUACUUGUUCGAAUAAUUUCCAAUCGACUGAUUCCUUCCGCAAUAUCUUCGUCUUCCGUUUUGCGUCAACAUCGAUGAGUUUACAAUUUUUUGACGUCGGACUGCGACAUGUUGUAAAUGCUCGAUCUGCCAACCGUCAAUGAAGGCGAUCAAGUGUAACAGCGAGAUCGAGGAAGACAGCAGGAGAAAUUUAUGUACUUGAAUUAUUCUCUGUAUAAUAUGCAGAAUUCAUCAAAUAUGUGUUAAUAUAAUAAAUCAUAUUUGAUUUUCAUAAAAAUAAAUAUAUUUAGCGUGAAAAUUGAAGGAUGACAUUAAAUAAUAUCUCAUUAAAUUUUCCACUAAUUCUUUUAGAGUUUUGAUUUUUUUAAUUAUAUUAAUUUAUUAAAAAAUUGUUUUCUUGUAAUAUGAAAAUUUGUAUAUGUAUAACAAAGAACGGUUUUGCUGAAUGUCUAAAUAUUUAGCUAUACAUACAGCUACACAUACAUACUCUGAAAAUAAUUUUGUUAUGCAAUUAAAAUAAUUAUUGCGGAUUCCAAUUGGUUGCUAGAAUGUCAACACUUUUUAUAGUUUUAUAUUUUGUACAUCAUGUUUAAACGUUCUUUUACACAAAAUUGUUUUGAUGGUCCAACAUAAUUAUUUUCAAAUCUGUAUUUAUAAAAAUAAAUUUUCAAAUAUUUCAGUACACACACACACACACACACACACACAUACAAAAUCGUUCUUUCCAUUUAAUAAAGUGAUAAAGAGUUAUUAUUAAUAAAGAUUUUAUAGAAAGGUUCUGACACAGAAACAUCAAGAAAGGAUGAGAAAAAUGAGAAAAGAGGUACUAAAGAUUUGGGGUUGGUGAGGGUGCUCGCUAUUUAUUUUUCUACCCGCACUCACAUCUCCCGGGAAAGCGCGGGUAUGCGGGCGUCAUUAACGCCAACCUUAACCGCUCCCCGCAUGCAUCUCACGUUCUCUUCGAGCUUUAUUAACCAUUUGCGGCGAGCUGACCUCUCGCUAUCCAAUAACUACGCGGCUAGCAAGUCGUUCCUUUUUAUUGUCUCGGAUAAGACCAGGUGUAGCACCUUCAUUUGCAAUGAUGCGCGCGUACGUCCGAUCGAGUUUACGGCCCCCAAGAUGCACUUUGUUCGCGAUCUCGCUACCGCGGUAAAUGCUAUCUCACGGCUGCUCAAAGAGCUUUAUCCGCAAUUUUCGCCACGAUACGAGAAUACAACGUUAGCUUAUUGAACAAGAGACCAUUAUGUUACUCGUCCCUUUUGCGCGCGCGCGUCGUUUCAUGCGGUAAAACGCAAGAAAACUCGAACGAAUAUCUUUUCAUAACGGUUAGAUUCUAGAACUCGGAGACGGUUAGAAGCUUCCGUAGAGAUGAUCUUGUUUGCAGGACCGGUUGGAGGAAGAGCGGUCGCCUUUAACGAAACAAGUUUUUCACCCGUGGACCCCCCAUGUGAGAUUCACGCGUACAGUUUGAGAUAAAUUUAUGUUCUUUCGUAUGCAGAUGACGCAGCAUCACUCUAAUAAUAUAGAACUUGCAAGAUCACCAAUACACAUAAAACGUAAAUUACAUUCUUUCAUACAAUUUUAGCGAAAACUGGGAUAAAUGACGGGGAAUUUUCGAACGUUUUAUUAUAAAUUACUAAUUUUUGAAACAGUAUCUUUGUAAUGUGCGUAUUAUUAUUUCAUUCAGAUUAAAUUUAAACGUAUUUAAAUUAAUAUAUGGUAUGUCUCUCGCAAACCUGAAUAGAUAAAGAAUUCAACGUGUUCGUUAAUCGAUCUAAUGAGAAAUUAAAAUCGGAUCGAUAUGGUAAUCUUCGUUUUCGGUUUCUCUACGUGAAACACAACGUUCUCAACUAUUUCAAGCUGGCGUUAAAGGAGAUAAGUUUUUCUUCCGGUAUAAACGAGCAACCGUCUAUCUCGGAACGAGUUUUGAAAUUGUGGACCACCGCGGACUCGUUUCUUCACAAAGAAACGCAAGGGAUGUCGCAUCUCGCGUAGGGAAAGAACUCGUUUCCUCGCGAGAACGUGGCGCUGGACCGCGAGGGAUGCCACAUUUCGCGGGGAUGCGUUAUAAUGGCAGCCCCCCAAUGGACGAACGGGCGAUCUCCGUUUUUUGGAAGAAACCAGACGAACCGGUGCGGACCCCACCUGGUUCCGGAGGACCCCCAGCCGUUAUUCAGGUUUCCACGCUUGUCCACGGAGUGGACGAAGUGCCUUUGAUAUUCAGAUCUGGCGGCGAUUCACGCGAUCGCAAGGAUCGCGAAUCACCUUUGGCGCUUUUGAGCCCUCAGUGCCGUCGCAGUCGCGCUGUCAAAGAGACGAAACGCGGAGAGUUUUGUUCGUUGGAAAAGAGUGUCGGACUGUCUGUCUACGGACAAAGAAUUCUUCUGAUCAACUGCGAUGAUGAACAGGACAUAGACACUACAUGUGUCAAUCUUCCGUUUCGAUUAAUGUUUCUGGGGUGAGUGUAGACAUCUGUGACAUUACGUUGGAAUUUUUAUUGACGUAAAAUUGGAUUCAUAGAUAUCAUUUGCAAAUUUUUAUCUAUCAACUUGAUAUUUUGUCUGAUAUCAUUAUUAUCCAUCGAAAUACAUGUUGUUAUACGUAUAACAACCGUAACUAGAUAGAAAUUUAAUAAAAAUAAUGAUUUGUUAUUGAUUAUUAAUUAGAAUAUAUUAUAUAACUCUUUAUAUUUAUUUUGCGUUUAUAAUUAUCUGCUAAACGAAUUAUAUUUGUACGGUCAAUACAUACUGUUUUACAAGUUUUUACUUUUUAAUGAAAUCGUAUAUAAUUUGUUACACUCUAGACAUCUGAAUCAAUAUAUUGCUUUCAACAAUAGUAUUAUUUAUUGCUAUUGGAAUUAAUAUAAUAAUAUUUUCCGUUUCUUUGAUUUGAUUUGAUCUUGAUAUUUCCCAAUUGACACAUCCUUAAAGCAAAAAAAAAAUGGAAAUAGCAGUACACGAGUAAAGCGCUUAAAAAGAAAGGGAGACUGGCGUGCUAAUAAAUCGGUAAAUCGCGAGUUAAUUCCGUUACGUCGGGGUGAUUCUGAGCGAUUCGUUCGAAUAAAAAAGGAGCAGGCUCGCGCGCGCAGGCCAGAUGCAGGAAAAAGGAAGAAAAGUGGAUGCUGCCGGGACGCCGGCGAGAGCGGCUUUAAAGUGAUCUCGACGAGUGAGAAAAAAAGAACGCGUUGCGGGAUGAUGGAACGGCGAAAUAAAAAAGAGAAAAGCUCGAAGAAUUCGAUAAACCUUGAAGCAGCCUAAAGAGUUUAAAUUCGGAUGCCGCGUCGUUCGUCAUACACUUUACUUCUUUCCUUCUUUUCUUUUUUUUUUUGUCUUAUUUACUAUUACACAUUCCUGUAGAGCUUCAUCGUCCCGAUAUUUGCAUUGCGCCACACGCAAUAGAUAUUUUAACAUAUGUAAAUCAUCCAGAUAUAAAUAUCCCUGAAAAAUCGAAGUCCUCUCUCUGCGGCACACGUAAAAAGAGAGCGGCUGCCUCAAAUUUGUUUACAAAUUAGCUCCAUCCAUGGAUAUAAAUAUAUGGUGGAAAAAAUAAAUUUCUCUACCCUUGUCCACUUUACGCGAAUUGCGGUGAAACGGUGUUUUUUUUUUUUUUUUUUUAAAGAGCGUUGCUAAUCCCGAAACUGCUGAUCUGGCGAUCAAACAGUAUCGGCUGCCGCUGCUCGCGCGGCGCAUUUUGAAAAUGUAAAAGCAAACUCAAAGCCGGUCGCGCUACGGUGCGAAUUGCAACUAAACUAAAACCGCGUUUCGCCUACCACCCUCCCUCCCCCCCUCGGGCUCACCCCAUACCUCUCGUCCCCGAUUCUCUCUAUUGAGCCUUCAUCUUUCUCUCUCUCUCUCUCUCUCGCUCUCCCUGCCGUUUCCGCAAACCUGCGUACACCAUGCUUCUCUCUCUCUCCCUCCCUCUCUCUCUCUCUUCACUCCCGACUUUCCCGCGGGAGAGCGGUUAAAACAAAUGAGCGGGCAGUGCCGGCCUUAAAUUAGCGCCGGCAGGGGUGGUUUUCACUUCUACCCUUAAAUUAGGACUAAGCCUCGUGCCUCCAAGUUUCACGGUUUUGAUCGGAUGAGUUACCGCCGUUGAAAGUUACAGCGACGGGGAUUAACGUCCGCCUUUCUCGCGCCGAGGAAUACCCGGCUGUUGCGCCGCGUCGGUGAACACUUGGGGGGGAAAAAAAAUGCGAAUCCAUCCUUGCGCGGCAAGUUAAAUGUCGUACCACGCACGGUAUGGCAAAGUUUCUCGCGGAUUGUGGGAUAAAGUAAACGUCUCGAGAAAAAGUAGGAACAACAUCGAAUAAAAUCAUGAUUAUCGAAUUUAAUGAUCUUAUUUAGAAAAUGAGCAAUGUGAAUAAUAGAAACGGACGAAUAAAUAAGAUCACAUGCUAUAUAUAAAUAAUAAAAAAAGAUUUUAAAUUUUAAUUUCUCUUGCAGAAUUUCUGAAAGUUUAUUUCUGCGUUUAUAAAACUUGUGUUUUUUAUAUCGCGAAUUUUAAUGAAUCGUAAAUUCAAUACAAAUAAAAGUACAAAAAUCAGUAGUACACGCAAGAAGUAGUACCACAUUGGGAAAGAUUCGUUUCGUGAACGAACGAAUGUGUCCAUAUCCUGAGAAAUUCUGUCACCCUGCAAUUCGCCGCUGUACGCCCGAUUUCGCGCGGUCGCGGAUCUAAUUGGCUAACCUUCUGUUCCCUAUUCCGCGCUGAAACGUGGCAUGCCGUAUCCGUGGAGGAAAGUUACCCCCUCUGACAUCGAGACCAAUCAACGGCGCGGUACGAACGAACGGAGACAGGAAGUCGGAAAAAGAGCGAGGGAAAGUUAGGCGAGUCAAAGUGGGUGGUGGCGACGCCGGGUGCUGAAAUCAGUCGCAGAACCGCGCCUGGAAUGGAAUCGCGUUUAAUCCAAUAGCGGUCCUUAAUAAUCGAAUAAAGCUAGGUCCGAGAAAUCGCGUCUAAGCAGACUCUGGGAUGAGUUACCCAUCCCGGCGAAAAGGAGGAGGAGGAGGAGGAGGGGGUGGCUUGACGAAGUUGGGUGGUCGAUGCGAGAGAAGGUGGCGGUGGCAUAGGAAAUUCAACCACCCUCUCCCCCUUUUCCAGGAGCUCCCUUGGUGUACGUCGCGCGGCUCGGUCGCGGCCAUGUUGCCAGAAUUGCCACCACCUACCCCCUUUCUCCCUCUUAAUAUCCCACCGCCUAGUCAUCUAGUCCUGCCGGGUCCGCUAUGUAAAUGUGAACCAACCCGACCCUCCUCCUCGUCGACCCCCCAUAUACCUCGCCCCUCUUCUAUCCCUUCGGCUCACCGGGCUCGCCGCCACCCCCCGCGAACUGCCUCCAACUAGCAGCCCCUAAAUCUAAGUCCGCCGGAGCGGUACACUCUGAGUAGAAAACGCUAUGUUUGGUCCGUGGGUUCGUUCUUGAUUGCAGAGAGGAAGAAUGCUCCUUGAUGCUUUUUCUGUGAAAGAACUUUAAAAAAGAGGAAACUAUUUUAUUCUUAUUUUUUUAUUUAUAUACGGGAAAUUGUCUUAAGAUAAACUAAACAUUCGAAGAAAGUUGUGAAAUUAUGAAAAAGGUACUCUACAUUAUUAAGAAUUUUUUAAACAUGCUUUCGGAAUAUUUACUUGACUUUUGCAUUGUGUAACGAAAUCGAAAGCGAGAGUGAUACAAAAGCGUCACAUUUAAAUGCCGCGACAAACAUGCCGGUUACCAUUAUUCUUACAGAUUACUCGAAAAAUAUAAAGAUUCCAGAUGAUUCUAAUAAAUCGCGGAUAAUUAGUAUUAAAUCGAGGAUUAUUUAAGCAAGGGAGCUUCGUACAGCGGAGUAAUGAAAGCAUUACGUAACUCCGGCUCCUCGUAUUUGCCUUCAGGCGGUGUCCGCUGAAAUUCAUCGCGAGAAACGACCUCACGUGCUCUCGCCGGAUAAUAGAAGAACUCCUUCCGCCGCGGCCUUAAUUAAUUGCUUUAAAAUAUCUCGUUUGACUUUUCCCAAGACUCCGCCGUAUCCCGGUACGGUACGUGUACCCCUAUCGUCACCGUGCGUAAUCACCGUUCGUUUCUCAUCCGGCGCUCUCUUGCCGUAAUUUUGUCGGGAAGGGUUGAGUCAUUACGCCCAAAGAACUAACAGGAAUUCCCAGAUUGCUGCGAGGUUGUGCUGCAAACCCCUAACCCUCCUCGUCCUCUUUCUCCUUCUCCUCCUGCUCCUCUUAUCCUCCCGUUCUGGCAGUCCUGUUGGCUAUCCUAACGGUAUAUACUACGGUCUACGGUGUACGGAAGGGCGCCAUUACCCCACGGACAGCAAGUUCUAAGCGCGCUAAAUAAUGGCCGCUAGAAAUUCAACGGGGGGUCGAAAUGCCCGUAUGGCGUUGCGAAUACUAUCACGGCUACCGUGGUACCUAAACAUACGCGCGGGCUCGUAUAUACGUGCGAAUCUACGCCGUUAGUGUCCACCCUCGACCCGUCUACGUGGGAGUGAGUAUUAAUUUAGGCACGUAGUCCUUUCCCCGGCGAGCUAAGAAAAAUGCCUGCACGUUGGGGAGCUGGCCCGUUAGAAUUUAAUCUCACGUCAUAGGAGGGACGGCGUGCUCAUCGACGCGUGCGUGUAGACGCGGCCGCGCGUGUGGUGGUAUGCGCGGUGGUGAUGGUCGACGAAGGUUGGAAGAGCCCGAGAAUACGGGAGGGAAAGGGGGACGUAAGAAAAAUGCGCGGGGGAGUAGGAAAGACCGAGGAGGUGGACGGACGCCUGGGAGACGGAGAGAACCCUCUCACGGGAGGGUGGAACGCAGUAGCGGGGAAAACGUUUCAAAAUCGCUUAUAUCCUGUUCAUCGUAACACUCUCGAGUGGAGGCACGUAGAUGCAA
This is a long non-coding RNA of Monomorium pharaonis (pharaoh ant), 14873 nucleotides long. RefSeq lists it as uncharacterized. The transcript is spliced from 4 exons. The record is from RefSeq and is a predicted model, not a curated record. NCBI's taxonomy places the organism in Eukaryota, Metazoa, Arthropoda, Insecta, Hymenoptera, Formicidae.